RNAcentral lists this ribosomal RNA (254 nucleotides) under uncultured bacterium. RNAcentral describes it as "partial 16S ribosomal RNA". It matches the Rfam family "Bacterial small subunit ribosomal RNA", at positions 524 to 776 of the family's 1533-position model. The record is from RNAcentral.
UACGGGGGGAGCAAGCGUUGUUCGGAUUUACUGGGCGUAAAGGGCGCGUAGGCGGCCAGCACAAGUCAGUUGUGAAAUCUCCGAGCUUAACUCGGAACGGUCAACUGAUACUGUGCGGCUAGAGUGCAGAAGGGGCAACUGGAAUUCUUGGUGUAGCGGUGAAAUGCGUAGAUAUCAAGAGGAACACCUGCGGCGAAGGCGGGUUGCUGGGCUGACACUGACGCUGAGGCGCGAAAGCUAGGGGAGCGAAUGGG